CGUCCCCCCUCCCGGGGAGCAGUCCGUCCUCACUUACGACUGGGGACGGCCCAAGAGUCAAGCAGCGGGGCCGCAUCGUGCAUGCCUUGUCGCGAGCACCGGCACGUGUAGGGCUGAGCGACGUAUUUCUGAGGAGGCGCUGAAGGCGGCUGCUAGGGCUCGGGAGCGUGCUGGUCGCUGGUGGGUGGGGCUUUGGGGGCGUGAAGGCGCGGGUCAGUUUUGCACGGCGCCUUUGCAAGCUUGGGCGUCAGGCGGGCAGGUCGGCAGGUGCAUGGGCUGCUGGGGCUUUGCCGCAUGCAGUGUGUUGCACGAUUGCCAUUGCUUCGCGUUGUUUUGCUGGUGGUGCGCUAACGUACUCUUUACUGUAUUGGGAAUAUGUGCGGUUGAAGACAGGACGUCAGCACGUCAGCUGAACGACACGUGUCAGGGCGAAUGGGCAGUGGACGAUGGAGCAGACUGUUUGUGAAGUACACAGCAGGUUGUUGUUAUUGUUUUUGUUGAUGGUGGGUAGGCGCCAUCGGAGCGGGCGGAGAGGGAGCGGCUGUUGCUCUGCUGGCUGUUACUUUUGGUUGCUUAGGGAACAGCAAUGGCCCUAUCGCACGAAAAACCCUCCUGUUUGUUAUCUCUCCUUCGCCUCGUAUCUGUUAUUCGUUCUUGUGGAAAGGUGCAUUGGUAAUGGUAAUGUCUUUUGGUGACCCGGGGAGUUGAGGGGACCCCUCCUGGCCGCCGGGUUGGUCGAGUUGGGGAUUGCGACAUUGCAUUGCUUGAGGAGGGGGUGCGGCUUGUGUGGGGAUUGAACAGAGGGGAGGGAGAGAUACGCCUGUUUGCCUUAAUAAGCAUUUCGAAACUGGCUCUGGGCAUACCCGCUCCAGAACCGCCACGCAACCGUCUUACAUAUCUGUCGGCCAUGUGUUUGCUUAGGACUAUCCCAGAUGGCCAGAUUCCUUCCACGAGGGCAGCUUAGCUUUCCACUGGAUCAUACGCAAAGGAACAUCUGCCACAUCUAGUACUCAUCAGUAGUUUUUUUGCAUCAUCAGGACACGCACUCGAUAUCAGUGGCCAAAUCUACGUCGCAUACGUAUUUGUAAUUAGACAUACUUGGACAUGUAAAAGCUCAACAAGCCUACACACAUCGCGUAUGGCGUCUGUAGUUCCCAGUUCCCUCUGUCCUUGCCAGGGGUUCAACAUCCGUCACUCUCGACUUUCACCUACACCGAUCUAGGCAGCGCAAACGUGCUUCGUGCAUGAGGGUAUUAUGGAUGCCCCAUGAUGACUGUUAUGCUUGCCAUGCACAAAGAUGCAAUGGUGCGUAGAGGACGUUCAGGUGAUGGCACCGGUCACAAUCUCCUAUUUGCAGGAUCCCUUGCAAGUAGACAGCUGAAGAGGUGAUCUCAGGAAGGUGUAAGAUACGCCUCAUGCAACUGUGUGAUUUCCCCAGAAAAGUACUCCUCAAUUGCAUGUCGCUGAGCAGUGGAACAGUAGAAGGGUGGUGCAGUGCCUACAGGCCAAGGGAAGGUUCACAUAAUGUUAAUAAUAACGUCGUCUGGCGUUACUCUGGUCUAGCUAGUAGAGGCCAGUAGCCAGAUAGACUCGACCCAAAGACCAAAGGAUGCAGCUUAAACGUGCAUUAUCACAACCUGAGACAAAAAAACAUGCAAAGGUCUUUAAUUUUGGGGGGCUGUUCGCCUCCAAGGUUUGCUCAGAGGUUUGCCUUUACUCCGAAAAGGAUGGGAACACCAUCUGUCGCAAUUGCAACAAAAUUUAAGCUAAAAUUCAGGCUUUAAAAUAAUGUGCACAAAUAUGGAUUAUUUUUGGGGUACUCAGAAC
This 1827-nucleotide long non-coding RNA is filed under the name Volvox carteri. Its description in RNAcentral is "long non-coding RNA (VCAR_LNC000184)". The record is from RNAcentral. Lineage: Eukaryota; Viridiplantae; Chlorophyta; Chlorophyceae; Chlamydomonadales; Volvocaceae.